ACCAAACCAAUCCAUUCACCUCUCAUCUUCUCUGAGACCCAAACCCUAGCCUCCCAUAUAUUCCACCGCUGCUCCGCCAGAACCACCCACCAAAAAUUGCCUCACGGCAGUUCAUGUGGGCCAAUCACCCUGAAAAUAGCAUCACAUACUCUCUUUCAUCUCCCUAUUCCAAAUAUCUAUUCCUUUUUCUUCAAAUCCGUCCAGGCCUUUUCGAAUCUUAAAUAAAAAAUUUAGCCAAAACUUGAACCCUUCCAAAUCAUUUCAAAUUCACACCCUAUGGUUCUUACCUCUAUCUGAAACCUAAACCACUUUUAACUCCUUUUAAAUCGGCCAUGAUUUCUUCGAAUUUUGGAUCUGGAUUCAGAAGAACCCUAAAAAUCCUCUUAUUCUUUUUUCCUGGUCGGAGGGUAGUCGAAUGGGCUUAAAACCUCCAUUAAUUAGUUAUUCUUGUCAAGAACAAUCGAUUAAUGGUAGUCAAAGUCCAUUCCAAAGGAUUUUUGGGCGAGUUUUCCAAUCUGAUUUGAUUUCGGAACAUUUUAGACAAAUCCUCUUUUUCUUGUGUUCAUUUAAAUCCUAUUUUUGUUUGUUUAUUGCAUGUUUAUGUUUUGGAUUGUUUAGACAACGAUUAGGCUUCUUCUCUUUUCCCUCUUGUAAUUCUUAAUUUGUUUUCGGCCAUCCUUUUAUUAAAGCAUGUUGAAUUUGUGGAAUUUAGGCUCCUUUAGUUUUCUGUUGGAUUGUUGCUUUAUUUUGCCGCCUUGUCCAUAGAUUCCUGAUCAUCUGAUGGCUAGUUCUUGAUUAAUUGUUUAAUCAGUGAUUGGUUAAGUUUCUAUGCCUGAAUUUCAUGAUAGGGAUUCAAAUAAACUUGUCUCCCUGGUUCUGAUUCCUUUUGUUAGUUUCCAGAUUAAAUUUUUGUGUUUUGAUUGGUUAACCUACUGAUCUGUAUGCUCGAUUAGUCUAAAUUCUAGGUUAUCCUAAUUAUUUCUGUAAUUAAUUAGGAAAAAAUAGUCUUAAUAAAGAUAGACUGACUCAAUUUUAAAGUUACAAUAGCUUUUGUUAGAUUUCCACUUUUCCAUUAACAUCUGAUGCAUCUUGUGCUUUAUUUCAAGUUGUUGCCCUAAUUUGAAGAUUAGAUGAACUUUAAGGGGUUCAUUUGAAUUAAUAGAGUUUAGGUAAAACUGAAAUAAGCAGUAACAUAAAGGGUAAAAUGAGAUUUUUACUUAGGCUAAAAAUUAGAAAGUUCUAGAACUUAGGAAAGCUUUCCCUAUCCUUAGCCAAUGUUGAUAUUAGAUACGAGGAAAUGGACAUACAACUGUCAAAAGGGGGUUGCAAUAUUCUGAAUUUUAGAAAUUCAGGUUAGAAUAUUCCCUUUUGAUUCCAUUUCUUGCACACUUUAUAGAAGGGAACAAUUAUCACUUACACACAUGGAUUUCCAACACCAAUUUACUGCAUAAAAAAUCAUUCUCUCUUCUGCUGAAAAGAUUAGGUUUCAAAUUUUAGAAAAAUUUCCUCCUUGGUUUUCUGAAAAGAUGAAAAAAUGAUUUGAAGUAAAAGGUUCUCUCCUGGUUUUCUUUGGUUAAAAUCUCUGGGAUUCUAAGGCUGAACUUGGGUGUGAUUUGGUUGUGGUUUGCUGUUUACUGCUGCUCAUUAUCUUGGGGGAAAGCUCAACUGUUUUAGUGAUCUUUAUUUGGUCUUUCUUUGAAUAAUCUAUAGGUAUGUAACCACACUCUAGCUAUGAGAAUUAAUUUGUUUUUGUGCAAAUAUGAAGUUAUUCAAUACUAUGUGUGUAUAGUUGUAUGUUUCAACAAUAGAACUUAAUGUGUUGUUCAUUGUUCUUCAUCAGCUUUUCAUGUGUCUUUCUAUGCAUUUUAGUAUGUAGGAAAAUGUUGUUGAAAUAAUACAAAUAGUUGUGUCUCAUUAUAUCAUCUAGGUUAAGUUUUAUUUAUGACGCUUCUCUUUCUCUCUUUCAUCUGAUUCCUUUCACUCAAAGUACUGCUUUCAUUAUAUUUUUUAACUGUUUGGGUCAUGCGCUGUAGCCUGUUGGUUCAACCAACAAUUGGUUGGAUCAAUUGGCUUUGAGAGCUUUAAGGUGGGAUUUACAUGUUAAGAAAAGAAGAUGAGACUACUAUGAUUCUGAGUCGGAGCCGCUAGUGAUUUAUGUGUUUAACUUUCAACAUAGUUAAACUCAUGAAUAAUCAUCUUUCUUUGCAUUCUUGAGCUUUAAUUUAGGUCUGUCAAUAUAGCAUGAUACUAUGACUGAGGCAACCAUGUGAAUCUGACCUUCUCCCAUGGUCAAAUCCAUGAGGUACUUAAAAAACAAGGCUGAUUUAGCAAUAAGAAGUUUCAUGUUGGGAACCUGGGCAAAUAGCUUUGUAAGAAGCAGCUCUGUAGCUGGAUUCUUGCGAAUGUGGUGGUUUGGAUUCGAAGAAAUGAUGAAAGGAAAUUAUGGAAUCAAUAGAAGUCUUCAUUUUCCUAUACUUUGUCUCUUUAAAAUUUCUUGGAUGUCAGCUGUAAUUGUGUUGAUUCUCUAGGAGUUAAAACUUCAUCGUAUAAUUCUAGGACUCACAGAUUUGUAAAAUGGACUGUUAAUUUUAUAAUCCAGUUAGUUAUCAGUUAGCUUACAGGAGUGGGCUACUUAAUUGGUGCAAUAAAUGUAUUUGGAGAUGUCUGCGAAAUCUGGCAUUGAGUCAAAAUUAGGCUCAAACCCUGGGCCCAUUCAGUGCAAGUUUGACCUAUGCCAUUUGGGUUUAGGCAUUUGGACUUCACAAGUUGACCCGAUAGAAUUUAAUUCUUAAAUACAAAUCUUUAUUCAAUACAGUGUGAAUCUUAAUUUAUUAGAGCUAAUUUCCAAAUUAGAUCUUGCAUCAAUGUUCCAUAAGAAUUGUUUGAAUUUAAUCAUAUCAUCAUUAAUUAGUGUUUUGCGCUGGGAUGUGCGUUUUAGGACCUAUAAUUGUGAACCAGGUUUCUGGUUUAUGGGCUUUAUCGUAAGCCCGUUUCUCCACUUCCUUCAAAAUGAUUUAGUAGGGGCUCUGGCGCACUCCCUUUUUUACCCAAAAUAUCUUAACAACCUUUCUCAUUAAUU
Molecule: long non-coding RNA, 3079 nt
Filed under: Nicotiana benthamiana
Lineage: Eukaryota; Viridiplantae; Streptophyta; Magnoliopsida; Solanales; Solanaceae
Description: long non-coding RNA (NBEN_LNC034984)
Source: RNAcentral